Molecule: long non-coding RNA, 10877 nt
Organism: Mirounga angustirostris (Northern elephant seal)
Lineage: Eukaryota; Metazoa; Chordata; Mammalia; Carnivora; Phocidae
Exons: 5
Source: RefSeq, a predicted model, not a curated record
GCUGGCGUUUUGCCGGAAAGCAGGUUCCGCCGUCGGGAUGCGUCUUAGGGAUUUAGUGUUUGGGUUCUUUUUAUCGUUCCUCUUUGGGGCUGCGGGCGUUAUAGGAAGGGGGUCAGAACGCUGCCCAGUUGACAAGCACGUUACUCUCGGAAAGCAGGUGGGGGCCUGGAGCACCACCUCUGCGCAGUCCCGUUCCGUUCUGGGCCGGCUGUGCGCCCUGGACUCCACGCCGGUCUGUCCCCCUGGGGGGCUCCCGCGCGGCUCCCCGCCGCCGCUGCAGCCGCUCCAGUCAGAAACCUGGAGGGCGUCCUCUCUCCCCGCCUUGCCCCUCCCGCAUCCCUCGUCCUGAGGGCCUGCCUUGCAGAGGCUGCUUUCAGGCAAACAGGCUAGAGCCCGGGAAGGCGGACGGGCCCAUGGCGACCCCCUGGCUGAACACGGCCGGGCCCACUGGGGCGGCGCGGUACAGAACGGAGACGUGUUGUUCACGGUUCCGAAGUGCGCAAGUCUAAAUUCAGCCUUUGGUGGUGGCCGUCGCUCCUUGGCGUCGCUUGCCUUGCAGCUGUGUCCCUACCGUCUCUGCCUGUGUCCUCAAACGGCGUUCUUCGUGAGUCUGGCCUCAUAUGGUGGUACUUUCCUCUUACAAGGACGCCAGUCAUGUUGAAUUAGGGCCCACUCUGAUCACCUUAUGCUAAUUUGGUCAUCAGCAAAGACCCUACUUUCAAGUAAGGGUACACUGACAGAUACUGGGGGUUGGGACCUGAACAGAUCUUGGGGGACACAACUCACCCAUAACACCUAAAUGCGCCUCCUAUUACUUCCCUACAGCAACAGGAAGAUCGUGCCACUCCUCUUGAGGUGGUUUUGAAUGUAGGUGAGGUUCGGUAGGGUAAGGUCCCGAGCCAACCACCGGGAAAGGAUUCUUGAGACAUCUUUGGUGCAAAAAGGUGAUUUCACCAAAAGCAUGGGGACAGGACCGAGUGCAGAAAGAGCUGCUACACCGGGGUUGUGAGGGGUGGCUCAUUAUAUACUUGGGAGUUGGGGGAGGUAAGGAAAUGGGAGGUUUUCAAAAGGACUUUCAUAUGCUAAAAAGGACCUACGAGAUACUGGAGGCCUUGCCAUUGUCAAGUUAAGGUGGUUUUUGCCACUAGCAAGGCAUUAACAUUAAGACAGUUGGGAGCUUCCUUCCAGAAGUUAAGGUAUUGUUACGAAUACUCUUUUGGGGGCGGGGAGUGGGGGCGCCUGGGUGGCUCAGAUGGUUGGGCGUCUGCCUUUGGAUCGGGUCAGGAUUUCCGGGUUCUGGGAUAGGGCCUGCAUCCAGCACUCUGCUCAGCAGGGAGCCUGCUUCUCCCCCUGCUUGUGCUCUCUCUCUCAAGUAGAUGAAUAGAAUCUUAAAAAAAAGAAAAAAAAAAAGAAUGCUCUUUUUUUUUUGGUAAGAUUUUAUAUAUUUGACAGAGAGAGAGAGAGAGAGCACAAGCAAGGGGAGUGGCAGAGGGAGAGGGAGAAGCAGGCUCUCCACUGAGCAGGUGCCUGACCCGGGGCUUCAUCCCAGGACCUCGGGAUCAUGACCUGAGCCAAAGGCAGAUGCUUCGCCCACUGAGCCACCCACGCACCCCAAGAAUGCUUCUUUCUUGUGAAUCACUAAGACAUUUGUAAACUGAGGGAGAGUCCUGUCUUGCAGGACUCUAAUCUCUAUAAGUUAACCAUUUGUUUUUCCUUCUCUGAGCUUUAGGGCAGCCAGGAGUGCCUGAGGAAUAUCACACAUAUUCCACCUGGGAGUGUGUGUGUUGUGUGUGUGUGGGGGGGGGGGUUGUGUGUUGUCAGCUUGUGCUUUGUCCUCAGCUUGCCUUCUGCUCCCUCAUCACUCCUCAUCCAAAGUUCCUUUCUUCCAAGGCCUUCUAGCCCCUAUGUGAUCCAUGCACCUCAAUCUCCUGCCACUGCCCUCCUUGCUCCCUCCUGGCUACACCAGCUUCUUUGCCCUUAGUCUACCUUGCCCAGCAUGUUCCUGCUCUCCCUCCUGCUGGCGUGCUCUUUCUCCUGAUACUGACAUGGAGUGUGCAUGCAGCAUUUUAUCAGUGCCAAGCCAUUCCUGACCAUUCUAUGUAAAAUCCAUACCCCUUCUUUCCUGCUUCCUGUCUUGUUAUUCUCUUAGUACUUCUCACUACUUGAGAUAUCCGCUCAUUUAUCCAUUCAUUGUCAUCUACGCCACCAUCACCAUGUCUAUAGAAGUUAGCUCCAAUGGAAAACCUUUCUUUUGUUCUGUACUAUAUGCUCAGGGCAUAGAACAGGGCGCAUAGGAGGUGCUCCCUCUUUCUCUUUACUGAGGCAUAAUUUACAUAACAAUAAACUUCACGGAUUGUAAGUGUUCACUUCCAUGAGUUUGAACAAACGUAUAUAAUCAUGUAAUCACUGAUGUGGGAAACAAAGGCAAAAGAAAAAAUUAAUUUCCUUACUACUUACACCCCAUUGACAGGUCCUUGAAACAGGCAGAGGGACCUUCCUCUAGGAGCUCAGCUGCCUGGAUGUUGACACUUUGCUAAGGGCCAAAGCUGUGGCGUUGUGUUGGCACUGUCCGGGCCAGGAAGGAAGGAAGAGAGUGAGGGCUCACUGGACACUGCAUUGUUCUGACUGGCCUUCCCAGGCCAAACACCGCAGGGACAGGAAGGUAAGCGGUCUGAAAUGCGGGCACCCGCUUCAUUUCCAGACUUCACCUCUGACGUGGAACACAUUUGACCCAUCUCUCUGGCAACCUCCAGGGGUGACCUUCACCUUCCAACUGUCUUCGCCCGGCUCCUGGCCUGCAGGCUGCUGUCCUCAUCGGCCAGGCUGAGAAUCAGAUCUAAGAACAAUCGGAACCAGAUCUUUUCCUCUUCCAAAGGUGAUAUAGCACAUUGGAUAAUAUUACAGGAGACCUUUCUCCCAAUGGUGACGUGUUACGAGACCACAGCGCAACAUCACGACCAGGAUAGUGACGCUGAUACAGUCGAGUAUAGGAUAUUCCCAUCAUUGCCCUGUACAGACGCCCCACGUCCUUCCCUCCCAACCUCCCGAACCCCGGCGGCCACUGAGCUGUCCUCCAUCACUAGGAUCGCGUCUCUUCAAGCACGUUACUGAAAUGAAAUCUACGGGCUGUGGUAACAACCCACACGAAGGGGCGGCUUAAAGCCACAGAGAUCCUGGUCUCACCGUUCUCCCAUCUGGAGGCCAGAGUCCAAAAUCAAGGUGUCCGCAGACCCUGCUCUCUCCGAAAGCUGUGGGGACAUCCUUCCUUGCCUCUUGCAGCUUCCGUGGCGACCCCUGGCGACCCCUGGCUGACAACUGCACACACGUCACAUGCGUCCACAGAAGUAACAUGUAUUUAUUGUAGAAGAUAUGAAAAUGGAGAAAAACACAAAGAAGACACAGCAAACUGAGCACGCCCCACUGUGUCCACUGCCCACGUCUGAAAACGUAGGAUCAGCCCGGCGUUAGUCCUUCCUGAAAAUUAACUGUGGGUUUUAAACAGUUCUUCAUGGCUUCAGUAAAUGAUUUGAGACCCAUGUUAAUACUUACUCAGGUGGCUUGACGUACGGAUUAGUUCUGUAAUCAUCCAAAGUGGAUCUCUUGUGGAAGUGUUUGUCAAGUGCUACAGUAAAAACAACUGGCUCUCUACAGAAUAAACAGUGAUUCAGGUGCAGAUCUGAGCACCCUCGCUGGCUCAGAUGAGAAGGGGAGGAGAGCAGGUAAGUAGGGCUGCCUGGGGAUGGACAGGAAAUCUGAUGAGCUAAUAUCUGAAAAUAUUUCAGAGCCACAGUGUGGACAAGUUCGUGAACAUAAAUGAUGAAAAUCUCAAACUGGAGUUCCAGUGGCGUGGGGUCUUACUUUAAAGCUGGCCAAUCCUGGGGGCUCCUCCUCGGUCUUGCGGGUUACCGCAGGGAGGACACCCCUGUCUUCAGAUUCCCCUCUGUUCAUGUUGCAGACAGAAGCUAGAGGGAGCAUUUGGGAAAUGAAAACGCAUUUAUUCCCCUUGGGUCAUCUAAAAAAAAGUAAAUAAUCUUAGUGCGUUCAGGCAGCUAUAAGAGAAUCCCACACAUUGGGGGGGCCUACAAGCCACAGAAUUUAUUUCUCAUAAAUUGGAAGUCCCAGGUCAGGUGAGGAUGCUCUCACUGGGUCCUCUCGUGGUGGAAGGGGCCAGGGAUCUCCUGGGGUCUCCUUCCUAAGGGCACUAAUCCCCUUCGUGAGGGCUCUACUUCAUGACCCAUCUCCUCCCAAAUGCCCGCCUAAUGCCCUCCAUGUGGGGGUCGGGGUCUCAUGGCAGGCAUUUGGAAGGACACAGACAUUCAGGCCCUAGCCAGUAUGUAGCUUUCAUCUCAACAAGGAAGCCAGAAUUGCACAAGGAAGUGCAGGAAUCUUGCCCGUUUCCUGCCAGGAAUGCCGGGGAGGGGGGGGGGCAUGGGGAUCUUGUUUAGUACAACUCAGGGAGCCCGAGCAGGGCCCACAGGAGCUCAGCUCUGCGCUCCCUGCAGGCCCUGAGGGAGGAUCCUUCUGCUCAAAUUCCAAGCAAGAGCUCUAUUGGUCUCAUAGGGACCCACUUGGCCCCACAGAGCUGGUAUGAAGAUUAUUUGAACUGGAGACAUUUGAUGUACAGUGGAUGCAGAGAGAAGCCUUUUCAGAGCUCCCUGCCUUUGCUGAAAGCGGAGCUUCACCCCCAGAUGGGAAGGAGCCGGGCCACUCACACCAGGAUGAGAAAUCGCAUAAACAAACAUUACCACAGGGGCCACACCUCCCAUUCCCCCUAAAGGCUCAUUUGUCUCCCCCUAGCAGCGCUUUCUGCCCCCCAAUUAAGUUGGUACGUGAACCCCUGUAUCUCUCUGUUCAGGGUCCACUUCAUCUGAGCAUGCUCACAUGUAGUGUGAACAGACUUGCUCUCUCUUCUCCUGUUAAUCUGUCUGUUGUUAAAUUUUCAGGCCCCCAGCACUGAGUCUGCAUUGGUGGAGGGAAGGUAUUUCCCCCCCGACGAUACAAAUUUCAGGGGGGCAUUCUGGGGUUGGCAACACACCCCAGGCUGUACCCGGAAGACAGCUGUCUGCUGCCCCAUCUCUGCCCACGUGUGGGUGUUCUGAUCGUCUCUUUCCUGUGAGGUCCAAACCUCCCUGUGAUGCAAUUCGAGAAACUUACCAGAACCGUGAAAUCCUGUGAUCAGACCAAGUGGUUGCUUAAAGGCAGUCUCAGCACUAACAUCCCGAGAUAAGUGUCAUAAUCUUCUUUAGCAGCAUUAUGUUCAUUGUGGCUUAUUUAUUUUUUCAGAUCUUCAGAAAUUCUAGAGUCUUUAAGAAGGCCUGUUCUGACAAGUCUACUCUUGGCAGGAUUGAGGUUUGAUUCCAAAGGGGCCAAAGUUCCAUUCCAAGGAAAUCUAGCUAAUAUUGUACAUACAGAGUUUCAGUGCACAGAUAGAGACUGAAAGAAGAUGUGGUGAGUUUAUUUAAAAAGCAAACCCACACGAUGAGGGUAGAGCCCUGGGGGGUGGGGGGCAAAGUAAAGGGUGGUCUGGGAAGCCACAGACUUUCAAGGAGGAAGUGGGAAACAGAGUCAAAGCCCACAAGUGGGUCGAAAGGCUGAAAUGUCUGACACAGGGGAGAACGGUUUCAGGGUGCGUGGGGGGCAGGUUCCCUGGAGGAAGUGUCACAGCUAGCUCCCAUGAGCGUCGUGGAGAACGAAGGAGCGUUAGCCGCCUGAGGGAGGAAGAGGAUGACUCCUGCCCAUACACCUGCUCGUCAUUGCUGAAAAUUCCAGCUAAGAAUCAGCGAGUAAUAGGAGAAGAAAUGUAUAAGAUGAGAAGUGGAAUCUUUCAAAGUGGGCAUGUCCAUAAAAGACCAGGAAAAGUCAUUCUUUUACAGAGAAUGAAACACCCCACCCAUGGCCUCUCUCGUGGGUCAGACGCCCUCACGUUCUGUGUCCAGGCUGAAGAGGUCAUGAUGCACCGGGUGGCGCAAUGGAGAGAGGACUUCCACACACGAUGUUUAAAAAACAUUCAAAAUCCCCUCCGUCCAUCAAUGACUGAAAAACCGAAAGCAAUUGAGAGUUCCUUGUUCUAUCCAUCCGCACAGGGAAGUCCACUGUUUCGCAAGAGGAAGUUGAGCUGUUAAAGAAAAACCAAAGCCUAAGUGUUAGACUAAGGGAAAGAUGAAGGAAGAGCUACUUGCAUUUCUGUUUGGGGGAGGUGAUAGAACAAAAGAACACAAAACCCAGCAAAACCCCAAACUGACAACUGUACAAAGGCUUCUUAGCAGAUCGAGUAAUUAAGUUGCAGAUUGAUCCCCAGAUUCUGAGGGCAAAGUGUGCAGGGAGGACCAUUCUCUUAAGUCCGGUGGUGUGUGUGAGAUUUCACUGUAGAGACACUGGGGUCCCGGGAGGUGGGGGCAGGCCUGCUGGAGGAGCUUUGCUGAGGACCCUGUGCAAAAGAGGCAAGGGCUCAGACAUGGGGGCUCCCAUGUCCUCCGAGCUCUGGGCGUCUCAGUCCCCAUCACUCUGCAAAGAAGCUAGAGAGGUGUGGCCUAGGCCGGGGGUUGCUGACCACACCGUGCCGGGGUUUUUUUUGUUUUUGUUUUUUAAAGAUUUUAUUUUUUUGACAGAGAGAGACACAGCGAGAGAGGGAACACAAGCAGGGAGAGUGGGAGAGGGAGAAGCAGGCUUCCCGCAGAGCAGGGAGCCGGAUGCGGGGCUCGAUCCCAGGACCCUGGGACCAUGACCUGAGCAGAAGGCAGACGCUUAACGACUGAGGCACCCAGGCACCCCCAGUGCCGGGUCUUUGAGCAAAGGAAUGGGAUUCCCACGGCGGUCCGUGAGGCUCUGGGCCUGGUGGGGAGAGGCCAAGGAGGCUGGGGAGAUUAGCCCCGGGUGCUGCCGAGAGCAGGGACCCCAAGCCUGAGGGGCUCAGACUCAGGUGCAGGGCUGGGCCGCACCCAGAGUUCCUGACUGCAUACGUGUGGGGAGUGGGGCCAGAGAAUUUGGGGUGCUGGCUGGCCUGGCUCAAGGAAAACCAUCCCUGAGAGCGGGUUCUCAGAACUGAAUAGGGCUGCAAGGAAUGGCCAGAUGCUAAGGACCCCAAGUCUUAGCAGAAAGCUGGAGGGGCGUCCUAGCUUAGGAGGGCCCCAGAGACACCAUGCGUCCAGGGAGGAAAGGGCGUCCCCUCUGGGGUCAGAGACGGAGGGGUGGCGGGAGGCCAGGACAGCGGGGGGCCAGACAACCCACACUUCCACCCACUGGGAAGCAGAGCAGGGACUUGACUGCCCCAGGCCCCACAGCAGCGCUGGCCUCUCCCCCUCCUUUCUCGUCCCUCGAAGCGCUUCAAAGUCCUCCCCACAGACACACGUCCUCCACGACAAGGUCCCAGACCAGAGGGGACACAGGAACCUGUCACACAGAGGAAAGGAAGGUGUCCCGUCUCUGCAUGUCGACGCCUAGCCGGGUGAGGAAGGCUGCGGGCAAGAGAUGGGCCGGCCCGCCACGGGGUCUCCGCGCACCGCAGCGUCCAGCCGCGCCCGCCAGAGCCUGGCCUGCCCCGAUCUCCGACCUCCAGGACUGCGGAGAAAUAAAUGUCUGUCGUUUAAGCCGACCAGCAGCCAGAGCAGACGAAUACACCAGGGAUAACACGUCACCAUCCUUGUCCCAAGGAGACGGCAGUCUGUUUGGGGGAAAGAAGCAUAAAGACCGGUGUCCAUCACAAGACAGAGAAGGGUGUCAGAGAUGCUUGAAGCAGGGUUAGGACGGAACCGAUGGCCCACACUUUGGAGGUCCACCUCUGGAAUCACCCAGCUUCGGGUGGAACUGAGCUAGGGGUAGAAAGAAUGGAUGCUUGGGAAGAUGCGAGCAAGGAGGCUGCUGGGGGGCUGAUCCCGGACCAGCCAUGUGAUUGGUGGUUGCCCCGGGUGGGUGUGACUGAGGGCCCGAGCUAGCAGGUGCUGCAGAGGCCAGGCGGCCAGGGGGUAGACAGCCGCAUGCGGCAGCGGGCAGGGCAGGGGCUGUACUCCCCCCCCCCAACCCCCGCACUGCGGGGCACCGCGCAGUUUUCAUUUUGGAAGGCAGCUAUGCUAACCACUAUACCACCAACGCCCCGGCUCAGUUUUCAUUUUGGAAGAUGCUCUUUUUAUGAGAAAUCUACCAUUUUGGGAGUUUAUAUUGACUUUGUUUCCAUUUCUGCAAAACUCCUUAAAUUUAUUUUGAGGUUUUGGGAUGGCUUCUACGAUAAACAGAAAAUGGGCUGACGGAAGGCAUCGGCGUCAAAUCAAAUGAAGAUGUAUUUUGAAAUCUAAGAAGAAACGGAUGUGGCCGAUUGUUGAUCUACAAUAGCCUAUAUGCUAGUAGUUACAUCAUUGCAGCUUUGGAUAUUUUGUUUCACUGUUUUUAAGCAGAGAAAGGAGUUUUCAUAUGUUCUCACCUCGUCCCCCUGCCCCCAAAUCUGUGUGUAGAUUAGGCCGCACAGUCUUUCUGUGAAUGUGGUUUGCCCAGCAGCCCUGUAGAGGGUCCCGAGGUGCUGAUACCCCAGACCUGGAAGGAUGCGGUGCGCGCCUCCUGGCAGGUGCACCCAUGACAGCAUAGCUGCGAAUCCAGCCCUGGGUCAUCAACUGACUCCAGAGAAGGGAAGAGGAUGCAGGGAAUUCUAAGAGGAAGAAGAGCAGAAACUCAGGGUGGGGGGUUUCUGAAAUUGAAAUGUAAACCCGACUUGAAAAACACCCACAAUUUCCUGUCCUAGCUGGGGCAAGGUUGCUGUCCCCAAGGGCCUGAUUCAUCUUACUGAGUGCUGGUGGUGCUGGCUGAGGGGAUGCUGAUCGAAUUGGGGGGGGGGCCCAGGAAGGAAUAACGGAACUCACGCCUACUGAGCACCCCUGCGUAGAGGAUCACUUGCCCACAACACUGAGAGGGGCAGUGUCAUCUACAUUUGGUAGAUGAUGAAACAGAGGGCACCACCAUUAGGAACACUUGCCCAGAGUCACUCAGUUAAAACAUGGCCAACCGGGGUUCCAAAUUCAGUUCUCUUGAGAUCUUUCCAUAUACUUAGCUGACACCAGACCUUCAGCAGUCAAGGGAUCACAAUGGAUAUUGAAAUGCCCAGGAACUAUGCCCGAAAAGUUGGUAGAUUUGGUUACAUACAAAUAAAAAAUAUUUGCACAUUAAAAAAAAAUCCCUGGGGCGCCUCGGUGGCUCAGCGGGCUGAGGAUCCGACUCUUGAUUUUGGCUCAGCUCCUGAUCUCAGGAUCCUGAGAUCAAGCCCCACGUGGGGCUCUGCACUGACUGGGUAGUUUGCUUGGGAUUCUCUCUCCCUCUCUCUCUGCCCCUCACCACCAUGGCAUUCUCUCUCUUUCUUAAAAGCAAAAACAAACAAACAAACAAACAACUUUAAAAAAAUCACCAUAAACAAGGUUGACAUAGUUGAGUAAACAAGUAUAUAAAAGCUUUUAAAUGUUAUAUAUCAUAGAAAUUUAUUUACAGGUUUAUGAUUUAAGUUUUAUAUUUAUGUUUGAAAUUUAUUUACAUAUGAUACACAUGACUCCCAAUUUUUUAUUUUGAAGAAUGUGAAAUCUAUAGUAGCACCAUAAUUUAAAAAUGUUCAAAAAAAAUGUUCACAGUUUUUUUUCAGUGUUUCUUUUUUUUCUUUUUAUUUAUUUAUUUAUUUGAGAGAGAGAUAGCGAGAGAGAGCAUGAGCAGGGAGGAGAGGGAGAAGAAGGCUCCCUGCCAAGCAGGGAGCCCCAUGUUGGGCUCCAUCCCAGGACCUUGAGAUCAUGACCUGAGCUGAAGGCAGAUGCUUAACUGCUUGAGCCACCCAGGCGCCCCUAUUCACAGGUUUUUAAUGGGCAAUUAACAAAAGAAAAAUCAUUAAUGACCAGUAGAUUUUUAAUUUAUUUUUAAUUUUUAUUAUUUUUUAAAGAUUUUAUUUAUUUGAGAGACAGAGCGAGUGAGAGAGAGCACAUAGCAGAGGCAAGGGAGAUGGAGAAGCAGGCUCCCUGCUGAGUAAGGAGCCCGACACGGGGCUCCAUCCCAGGACCCUGAGACCAUGACCUAAGCCAAAGGCAGAGGCUUAACUGACUGAGCCACCCAGGCACCCCAACCAGUAGAUUUGUUAAAUAAAGAUUUUGACCUUACUGAUGGUCAAAGAAACACAAAUGGAUAUGAGACCUAUUUCUAUCUACUCCACUGGUAAAGAUGAAGCUUUAUCCCCUGGUGUCGGGAGGGUGUUGGAUAGGCGGAGCAAGUAUUCAGCGCGUGCACUGCUUCUCUUUUCCACGGUGUCCCUUGUGUCCCUUGCAGACGUCACUACCCUCACUAUAUCUGUCCACUGAGCCCCAGUGAGAUUAUCAUUUAGAUUUGGCACAUAGCUGAAGGCUUAUUUGCCACCCAGGAGAAUACUGAAAUUCAGUAUUAAUGGAAGUAUACAAUGACCUAAUAUUUGUGACAUUGAGGCAUUUUGAACAGUAUCGGUUCAGUUUGUUACAUGUGAGCCGCAGAAAUUGCUGGCUGUCCCCCUUCCCCACUAUCCCUCCUUCUCUCCCUAAUUAGAGAAUUUUUAUCUGGGUACACGAGGACUCAGAGUAAAGACUACAUUUCCCAGCCUUCCUUGCAGUUAGGUGUAUGGCCACGUGACUAGCUUCUGGCCAAUUGGGGUGUAAGCAAAAGUGUCAUGUGUCAGCCAUUGGCCAGUUGGCCGGCCCUUCCUCCCUCUGCUGCUUGGAACGUGGGUGUGAUGGCUGGAGCUCCCACCGGGAGGAGGAGGGUGAGAGUCAACUUGGCUGGCAGAGCUGUGAGCUGGAAGGAGUCUUGCGGAUUGUGUAGAGCGGACUGCCAGGCCAGCCUCAGAUGGGCUACCUCAGAACUUUUCUUGUGAGAGAAAUAAAUGUCUCUUUUAA